AAGAAAUUAGCUCAAUUGGUUAGAGCAUUCGUUUUACACGCGAAAGGUUAUAGAUUCGAAUUCUAUAUUUCUUA
Transfer RNA from Hanseniaspora osmophila, 74 nucleotides. It matches the Rfam family "tRNA". Rfam says of the family: Transfer RNA (tRNA) molecules are approximately 80 nucleotides in length. The record is from Rfam. NCBI's taxonomy places the organism in Eukaryota, Fungi, Ascomycota, Saccharomycetes, Saccharomycodales, Saccharomycodaceae.